This 815-nucleotide ribosomal RNA is filed under the name uncultured bacterium. RNAcentral's name for it is "bacterial SSU rRNA". It matches the Rfam family "Bacterial small subunit ribosomal RNA", at positions 8 to 796 of the family's 1533-position model. The record is from RNAcentral.
AGAGUUUGAUCCUGGCUCAGAACGAACGCUGGCGGCGUGGAUUAGGCAUGCAAGUCGAACGAGAAAGGAUCUUUCGGGGUCCGAGUAAAGUGGCAAACGGGUGAGUAACGCGUGGGAAACCUGCCCUUAUGUUGGGGAUAACACUUCUAACGAGGUGCUAAUACCGAAUACGAUCAUCCGGCCGCAUGGCCGGGUGAUGAAAGGCGGCCUCUGCUUGCAUGCUGUCGCAUGAGGAUGGUCCCGCGUCCCAUUAGCUUGUUGGUGAGGUAACGGCCCACCAAGGCGAUGAUGGGUAGCCGGCCUUAGCGGGUGUCCGGCCACACUGGGACUGAGAUACGGCCCAGACUCCUACGGGAGGCAGCAGUCGAGAGGCUUCCACAAUGGGGGAAACCCUGAUGGAGCGACGCCGCGUGGGUGAUGAAGGUCUUCGGAUCGUAAAGCCCUUUCAGCAGGGACGAUAGUAACCGGUGCUAAUACCAUCGGAUGCAAGACGGUACCUGCAGAAGAAGCUCCGGCUAACUCCGUGCCAGCAGCCGCGGUAAGACGGAGGGAGCAAGCGUUGUUCGGAUUUACUGGGCGUAAAGGGCGUCUAGGCGGGUCUGUCAGUCAGGUGUGAAAUCCCCCGGCUCAACCGGGGAGUUGCACUUGAUACUGCAGGUCUUGAGUACGGAAGAGGAAAGCGGAAUUCCUGGUGUAGCGGUGAAAUGCGUAGAUAUCAGGAAGAACACCGGUGGCGAAGGCGGCUUUCUGGUCCGAUACUGACGCUAAAGCGCGAAAGUGUGGGGAGCAAACAGGAUUAGAUACCCUGGUAGUCC